Podarcis lilfordi (Lilford's wall lizard) is the source of this 76-nucleotide non-coding RNA. The record is from the annotation of a GenBank genome assembly. Lineage: Eukaryota; Metazoa; Chordata; Lepidosauria; Squamata; Lacertidae.
UCUGGGAUAGCUCAGUUGGUAGAGCAUGAGACUCUUAAUCUUAGGGUUGUUGGUUUGAGUCCCACAUUGGGCAAAA